Molecule: ribosomal RNA, 1088 nt
Filed under: uncultured bacterium
Lineage: Bacteria
Description: bacterial SSU rRNA
Rfam family: Bacterial small subunit ribosomal RNA
Source: RNAcentral
AGAGUUUGAUCAUGGCUCAGAUUGAACGCUGGCGGCAGGCUUAACACAUGUAAGUCGAGCGGGGAAGGGUAGCUUGCUACCUGACCUAGCGGCGGACGGGUGAGUAAUGCUUAGGAAUCUGCCUAUUAGUGGGGGACAACAUUCCGAAAGGAAUGCUAAUACCGCAUACGCCCUACGGGGGAAAGCAGGGGAUCUUCGGACCUUGCGCUAAUAGAUGAGCCUAAGUCAGAUUAGCUAGUUGGUGGGGUAAAGGCCUACCAAGGCGACGAUCUGUAGCGGGUCUGAGAGGAUGAUCCGCCACACUGGGACUGAGACACGGCCCAGACUCCUACGGGAGGCAGCAGUGGGGAAUAUUGGACAAUGGGCGAAAGCCUGAUCCAGCCAUGCCGCGUGUGUGAAGAAGGCCUUUUGGUUGUAAAGCACUUUAAGCGAGGAGGAGGCUACUGAGAUUAAUACUCUUGGAUAGUGGACGUUACUCGCAGAAUAAGCACCGGCUAACUCUGUGCCAGCAGCCGCGGUAAUACAGAGGGUGCGAGCGUUAAUCGGAUUUACUGGGCGUAAAGCGUGCGUAGGCGGCUUUUUAAGUCGGAUGUGAAAUCCCUGAGCUUAACUUAGGAAUUGCAUUCGAUACUGGGAAGCUAGAGUAUGGGAGAGGAUGGUAGAAUUCCAGGUGUAGCGGUGAAAUGCGUAGAGAUCUGGAGGAAUACCGAUGGCGAAGGCAGCCAUCUGGCCUAAUACUGACGCUGAGGUACGAAAGCAUGGGGAGCAAACAGGAUUAGAUACCCUGGUAGUCCAUGCCGUAAACGAUGUCUACUAGCCGUUGGGGCCUUUGAGGCUUUAGUGGCGCAGCUAACGCGAUAAGUAGACCGCCUGGGGAGUACGGUCGCAAGACUAAAACUCAAAUGAAUUGACGGGGGCCCGCACAAGCGGUGGAGCAUGUGGUUUAAUUCGAUGCAACGCGAAGAACCUUACCUGGUCUUGACAUAGUAAGAACUUUCCAGAGAUGGAUUGGUGCCUUCGGGAACUUACAUACAGGUGCUGCAUGCUGUCGUCAGCUCGUGUCGUGAAAUGUUUGGGUUUAAGUCGCA